RNAcentral lists this ribosomal RNA (496 nucleotides) under uncultured bacterium. RNAcentral's name for it is "partial 16S ribosomal RNA". It matches the Rfam family "Bacterial small subunit ribosomal RNA", at positions 28 to 506 of the family's 1533-position model. The record is from RNAcentral.
GACGAACGCUGGCGGCGUGCCUAAUACAUGCAAGUAGAACGCUGAAGAGAGGAGCUUGCUCUUCUUGGAUGAGUUGCGAACGGGUGAGUAACGCGUAGGUAACCUGCCUUGUAGCGGGGGAUAACUAUUGGAAACGAUAGCUAAUACCGCAUAACAAUGGAUGACACAUGUCAUUUAUUUGAAAGGGGCAAUUGCUCCACUACAAGAUGGACCUGCGUUGUAUUAGCUAGUAGGUGAGGUAAUGGCUCACCUAGGCGACGAUACAUAGCCGACCUGAGAGGGUGAUCGGCCACACUGGGACUGAGACACGGCCCAGACUCCUACGGGAGGCAGCAGUAGGGAAUCUUCGGCAAUGGGGGCAACCCUGACCGAGCAACGCCGCGUGAGUGAAGAAGGUUUUCGGAUCGUAAAGCUCUGUUGUAAGUCAAGAACGGGUGUGAGAGUGGAAAGUUCACACUGUGACGGUAGCUUACCAGAGAGGGACGGCUAACUACGU